CCUACGGGAGGCAGCAGUAGGGAAUCUUCCACAAUGGGCGAAAGCCUGAUGGAGCAACGCCGCGUGGGUGAAGAAGGUCUUCGGAGCGUAAAACCCUGUUGGUAGAGAAGAAAGUGCGGGAGAGUAACUGUUCACGUGUCGACGGUAUCUAACCAGAAAGCCACGGCUAACUACGUGCCAGCAGCCGCGGUAAUACGUAGGUGGCAAGCGUUAUCCGGAUUUAUUGGGCGUAAAGGGAACGCAGGCGGUCUGUUAAGUCUGAUGUGAAAGCCUGCGGCUUAACCGGAGUAGUGCAUGGGAAACUGGGAGACUUGAGUGCAGGAGAGGAGAGUGGAACUCCAUGUGUAGCGGUGAAAUGCGUAGAUAUCUGGAAGAACACCAGUGGCGAAGGCGGCUCUCUGGUCUGUAACUGACGCUGAGGUUCGAAAGCGUGGGUAGCAAACAGGAUUAGAUACCCCAGUAGUC
Molecule: ribosomal RNA, 465 nt
Filed under: uncultured bacterium
Lineage: Bacteria
Description: partial 16S ribosomal RNA
Rfam family: Bacterial small subunit ribosomal RNA
Source: RNAcentral